Long non-coding RNA from Serinus canaria (Common canary), 357 nucleotides. RefSeq lists it as uncharacterized. NCBI's taxonomy places the organism in Eukaryota, Metazoa, Chordata, Aves, Passeriformes, Fringillidae. The record is from RefSeq and is a predicted model, not a curated record. The transcript has 2 exons.
UGAGCAGAACUGCCAGGAGGAGGCUGUGCUGGAGGACAGAGAGGGAAGGAAAAGCAACACACCCACCUGACCUAAGGGCAGAAAUCUCUGCCUCCUACUACAACUGGAAACCAGCUGAGAGUUCUGGGAUGGCAGUAAAGGCACAGCAAUAAAGGGAUUUAAUGGCACUUCAGGUCUGCCAUAGCUGCUGAAGGUAACAUUUGCUUUAUUGUGAAGAUUCAGAGAACAGUAUGACCCUCUCUUUCCAUGUUACUGCCUAAUGUUAAUCUCAAAAUUUGUAUUCUGGAAAUAUCUUUCAGAGGUAAUCAACACAUGUGAUCUUGAAUAAAAAGCUUUACGAGCUGCAAGCACUCACCA